This 494-nucleotide ribosomal RNA is filed under the name uncultured bacterium. Its description in RNAcentral is "partial 16S ribosomal RNA". It matches the Rfam family "Bacterial small subunit ribosomal RNA", at positions 28 to 507 of the family's 1533-position model. The record is from RNAcentral.
GACGAACGCUGGCGGCGUGCUUAACACAUGCAAGUCGAACGGAAAGGCCUGCUUUCCCUUGUGGAUUGCGGGUACUCGAGUGGCGAACGGGUGAGUAACACGUGAGUGAUCUGCCCCCAACUUGGGUAUAAGCCUGGGAAACUGGGUCUAAUUCCCGAUAGGACUGCAGGGUGGUUCCUGUGGUGGAACACGAUUUUCUAGUGGUUGGGGAUGAGCUCGCGGCCUAUCAGCUUGUUGGUAGGGUAAUGGCCUACCAAGGCGGCGACGGGUAGCCGGCCUGAGAGGGUGGACGGUCGCACUGGGACUGAGAUACGGCCCAGACUCCUACGGGAGGCAGCAGUGGGGAAUAUUGGACAAUGGGCGGAAGCCUGAUGCAGCGACGCCGCGUGGGGGAUGACGGCCUUCGGGUUGUAAACUCCUUUCGACCGAGAGGAAGCCACCUGGUUGGAAGGGUGGUGACGGUAGUGGUAGAAGAAGCACCGGCUAACUACGUG